GGGCGGGGCGGAGGUGGAGCCUGCGUGCGCCCGGCCCCGCCCACCCGGCCGGCCGGAACGAAGAUGGCCGGUCGCGCGCGGAAAUGGAGGGGCCGGCGGCACCGGCGGCAGUGGCGGCAGUGGCGGUGGCUCGGAGGCUGUGACUUGGCGCGCGGCGGCGACCCGGACGACCCGGAGGGCGCGGGUUCCUUGUCCGGCCGACUCAGCCCGGUUUCCUUCCAAAGCCUGGUGCCAGACGGGCAGUUUAGGGGUUCUCAGCCCUUUUGGAGUUGGGAGAGCCUGUUCCCAAACUCUGUUGGUUGCUCUUUAGCGCCGUAAGAGUCAAGAAAUCUGGGGCAAGUUGGCAAGAGCUCGCCUGCGUCUGGUGACUCAAGGACUGAAGCUUCCUCCAUCUGCUGAGGCUGCCAUCAUGAUAUGUUAAACAAAGUCACUGGGUCAUGCCAGCCAUUCGUCCAGCCCUCCAUCUCCGAAUGGGCACCCUCUGCUCCAACACUGAAAGAUAAAGAAAAAUCUCACCAAUAGGGGGCUAAAGAACCCAAUGUGGUUAAUAUGUGAUUAUUACUCGAUACUGUCAUAGAAAAAUUAA
This is a long non-coding RNA of Cynocephalus volans (Philippine flying lemur), 586 nucleotides long. RefSeq lists it as uncharacterized. The record is from RefSeq and is a predicted model, not a curated record. Lineage: Eukaryota; Metazoa; Chordata; Mammalia; Dermoptera; Cynocephalidae. The transcript has 3 exons.